RNAcentral lists this ribosomal RNA (497 nucleotides) under uncultured bacterium. RNAcentral's name for it is "partial 16S ribosomal RNA". It matches the Rfam family "Bacterial small subunit ribosomal RNA", at positions 28 to 507 of the family's 1533-position model. The record is from RNAcentral.
GAUGAACGCUGGCGGCGUGCCUAAUACAUGCAAGUCGAGCGAACAGACGAGGAGCUUGCUCCUCUGACGUUAGCGGCGGACGGGUGAGUAACACGUGGAUAACCUACCUAUAAGACUGGGAUAACUUCGGGAAACCGGAGCUAAUACCGGAUAAUAUAUUGAACCGCAUGGUUCAAUAGUGAAAGACGGUUUUGCUGUCACUUAUAGAUGGAUCCGCGCCGCAUUAGCUAGUUGGUAAGGUAACGGCUUACCAAGGCGACGAUGCGUAGCCGACCUGAGAGGGUGAUCGGCCACACUGGAACUGAGACACGGUCCAGACUCCUACGGGAGGCAGCAGUAGGGAAUCUUCCGCAAUGGGCGAAAGCCUGACGGAGCAACGCCGCGUGAGUGAUGAAGGUCUUCGGAUCGUAAAACUCUGUUAUUAGGGAAGAACAAAUGUGUAAGUAACUAUGCACGUCUUGACGGUACCUAAUCAGAAAGCCACGGCUCACUACGUG